GCCAGGUGUGGUGGUGCACGCCUGUAAUCCCAGCUACCGGGGAGGCUGAGGCAGGAGAAUUGCUUGAACCCAGGAGGUGGAGGUUGCAGUGGGUCAAAAUUGCACCACUGCACUCUAGCCUGGGCAACAGAGUGAGACUUUGUCUUUA
Molecule: non-coding RNA, 148 nt
Filed under: Gorilla gorilla gorilla (western lowland gorilla)
Lineage: Eukaryota; Metazoa; Chordata; Mammalia; Primates; Hominidae
Source: Rfam by way of RNAcentral